Molecule: transfer RNA, 84 nt
Filed under: Chitinophagaceae bacterium
Lineage: Bacteria; Pseudomonadati; Bacteroidota; Chitinophagia; Chitinophagales; Chitinophagaceae
Also listed under: 6 other names
Description: tRNA-Leu
Rfam family: tRNA
About the family: Transfer RNA (tRNA) molecules are approximately 80 nucleotides in length. Their secondary structure includes four short double-helical elements and three loops (D, anti-codon, and T loops). Further hydrogen bonds mediate the characteristic L-shaped molecular structure. tRNAs have two regions of fundamental functional importance: the anti-codon, which is responsible for specific mRNA codon recognition, and the 3' end, to which the tRNAs corresponding amino acid is attached (by aminoacyl-tRNA synthetases). tRNAs cope with the degeneracy of the genetic code in two manners: having more than one tRNA (with a specific anti-codon) for a particular amino acid; and 'wobble' base-pairing, i.e. permitting non-standard base-pairing at the 3rd anti-codon position.
Source: RNAcentral
GCCCAGAUGGCGGAAUUGGUAGACGCGCCAGACUCAAAAUCUGGUGUCCGCAAGGAUGUGCAGGUUCGAUUCCUGUUCUGGGCA